Molecule: long non-coding RNA, 1343 nt
Organism: Cannabis sativa
Lineage: Eukaryota; Viridiplantae; Streptophyta; Magnoliopsida; Rosales; Cannabaceae
Exons: 2
Source: RefSeq, a predicted model, not a curated record
GGGGGGGGAGUGGUUCUCACCUUUAUUGUUCUCUUGCUAUCUAGCUAGUUUAUGUCAUUUCUAUUUAGUUUAUAUAAGUUUAUUAUUCAAAAAAAAAAAAGUUUGUACUUAGAAAUUGUCCCCCCUUUCUUGAAAAAAAAAAAAAAGAGAGAUCAAAGUCAAAAAUAAGUUUGGGGGUGCCAAAAAAAAAAAAUAUGCAUGUAUAUAUAUAUAUAUUAGUAAAUAAUUAAAGCUAGUGGCAAGAGUUAUAUUUGGUUUGUGGGGUUUCUUUAGGGAAAAAUUUAUUGUGCAUUGCCUAGGUCCUAUAAAGAUCAAUGUGUUUAGGGUGGUUCGAACCGAAAUUAAUUUUCCUUAUCCUACCUUCACCCUAGCCUAUCAUUACAAGCUUGGCUAAGUCUUAUUGAUCCUUGGAGUGGUGUGUGUCUACAUUAGUGGAGAGAAAGUUGUUAGGUAACCUAUGGAGUCAUCAUUUGAACUUGAGGACCAAUGUUUAGUUUAAAUGUUAGUUGAGCGAAAUUGUUUAGGAGAAGCUAUGUUUAAAAAAAUAAAAAAAAAGAGAGGGGCACUUGACACCUACUUUGGGCAGCGGCAUUUAAACUUAAAGAAUUUGGUUUAACGCUUGAGCAAGAUCUUCAUUCAGUUGCCUUUUGCAGAACAUUAUUCCUGAGAGCUAUUUCCCCUAGAAAAAGGGUGAGUUGGCAUUUCAUUAAAAGAGGUGGCAUUUGUGGAGAUGACGUGGCAAUAUAAGAGUGGUGGCUGGAGCUAUUACAUGGAGAGGCUAUCAACAUGCCAUGUGUAGGGUUUAUUUGAGGCAAAAAGGUACUAAACCUAAGGAGAUUGGAAAGAAAAAGGGGCCUCCAUUUAGAGAAAAAAGGGGGCUGAACGAAAAUAGAGCUUUUGGGCUGCCAUUUUUAUACAGAAAAAAAGAAGAUUGAAAGAAGAAGAAGAAGAAGGAGGAAAGAGGAGAAGCACAACAAGAUUCAACAUCCAUCCCUUUGGAAAACUCCUCUAUUAUUGUUUGCUAUUUCUUUCUUCUCUCUUUUAAUUUCUUUAACUUAACAUUCAAACUCCAUGUCUAAAUUUUAUCUUGUAAUGGUGGUUCUUAAGUUAGCUAUGAGCUAAACUUUUUAAUGGUUUGAAUUGUUGAAGAACCCUAUGUUUAGUUGAGUAAUUUUCUUAUGCAAAUAUUUAGUAAAAAUUCUCAUGUUCAUUCAAGUGUGUGUAUUGCUAAUUUCUUGAUAUUGUUUGGCCACCAAUAGCUUGAUUAUUGAGUUAUAUUUAAUUCUGGAAAGGUUAAAUGUAAUGGACUUAGCUUGAAUGACACAAGUUCUUAAUCUUUUUUA